GAAUGGACUCCACUGUCUAUGGAUUGAGACUUCUGAAACUAGGGAAAAAUGGAACUUUUGUAAUGAAACAAACCUGGCAGACACAGUUGGACCAAGUGACCAAAGUUAACAUCGCCAAUUACAACCCAUAUGGACAUCAUGUACCUCCUAUUAUAGACCCGGGAUUGUGUAAAGUAAGCUCCUCACAGGAGGUGGAGGACCUCCUUGCCCCAACUCUGCAGGACCACACUUUAGUGUCUUCAGAGGUAGAAGAGAACAGUUUAAGACAUCUUAAGGAGGAAAAGAAAGAGAAGUUCUUGGAGAAGUCUGAACUCCAAUUUCACAACCAAGUCUGAUAUCUCUCACAAUGAAAAAUAAACAAUAAACAAACCAAACAAAAAAACUUAAAA
This is a long non-coding RNA of Marmota flaviventris (yellow-bellied marmot), 389 nucleotides long. RefSeq lists it as uncharacterized. The record is from RefSeq and is a predicted model, not a curated record. NCBI's taxonomy places the organism in Eukaryota, Metazoa, Chordata, Mammalia, Rodentia, Sciuridae.